UACGGGGGGGGCAAGCGUUGUUCGGAAUUACUGGGCGUAAAGGGCUCGUAGGCGGCCAACUAAGUCAUACGUGAAAUCCCUCGGCUUAACCGGGGAACUGCGUCUGAUACUGGAUGGCUUGAGUUCGGGAGAGGGACGCGGAAUUCCAGGUGUAGCGGUGAAAUGCGUAGAUAUCGGGAGGAACAUCAGUGGCGAAGGCGGCCUUCUGGUCCAGUACUGACACUCAAGUGCGAAAGCGUGGGGAGCAAACAGG
This 253-nucleotide ribosomal RNA is filed under the name uncultured bacterium. RNAcentral's name for it is "partial 16S ribosomal RNA". It matches the Rfam family "Bacterial small subunit ribosomal RNA", at positions 524 to 776 of the family's 1533-position model. The record is from RNAcentral.